Molecule: ribosomal RNA, 496 nt
Filed under: uncultured bacterium
Lineage: Bacteria
Description: partial 16S ribosomal RNA
Rfam family: Bacterial small subunit ribosomal RNA
Source: RNAcentral
GAUGAACGCUGGCGGCGUGCCUAAUACAUGCAAGUCGAGCGAACGGACGAGAAGCUUGCUUCUCUGAUGUUAGCGGCGGACGGGUGAGUAACACGUGGAUAACCUACCUAUAAGACUGGGAUAACUUCGGGAAACCGGAGCUAAUACCGGAUAAUAUUUUGAACCGCAUGGUUCAAAAGUGAAAGACGGUCUUGCUGUCACUUAUAGAUGGAUCCGCGCUGCAUUAGCUAGUUGGUAAGUUAACGGCUUACCAAGGCAACGAUGCCUAGCCGACCUGAUAGGGGGUAGGCGCACUGGGAAAGUGAACGACGACCCAGGCCCUGAGGGAGGGCCGCGACUGGUACGCGUGGGAAAAGGGGGAAAUCUUGACGAAGCAGCGCCAGGUGGGUGCAGAAGGGCUUCGUGCGGUAAAACGCUGUUAUUGGGGAAAACCGUUUUUGUAAGUAACGGUGCACGAGUGAAGGUAACCGAUAAAGAAGGCACGGCUAACUACGUG